Molecule: non-coding RNA, 164 nt
Filed under: human gut metagenome
Description: Lysine riboswitch
Rfam family: Lysine riboswitch aptamer
About the family: Riboswitches are metabolite binding domains within certain messenger RNAs that serve as precision sensors for their corresponding targets. Allosteric rearrangement of mRNA structure is mediated by ligand binding, and this results in modulation of gene expression.
Source: RNAcentral
GAAUAGAGGCGCGCCAUGUCAUCAGUAUCCUGCGGGAGACGCCCGGGUCCGUGACGGCAGAGGAAAGGGGCUGGCGCCGAAGGAACGGCUUUGGGAAAGCCGGUUUCUGGCUUCACGGUGAAGAACCGUGCGGCUGUCAUCAUGAUCUUGAUGGGGCGCUAUUC